Molecule: unclassified non-coding RNA, 332 nt
Filed under: Hevea brasiliensis (rubber tree)
Lineage: Eukaryota; Viridiplantae; Streptophyta; Magnoliopsida; Malpighiales; Euphorbiaceae
Source: RNAcentral
AAAAUAAUGUUUUAAUCAUGUAUUCUAAUUAUACAGCUGCAAUACAAUCAUCUACAUGAUGAUCAGAGGUGCCAUAAACAGAACUCAAAGUUGAGUAAACUCCUGAAUUCUUACCAGAAACUACCAAGAAUACCAGUACAGUUGUCACUGUCAUAACCCCUGCAGACAUGCCAUAAAAGCAAACAACCACAAACGCUACUAAGACUCGCACUCCACACAAUGUAAUGCCAACUUAUCACCGUCUUGAAGAUUAUACAUAACAAAAAAUCACAUAAUCAAUGCUGAAGAGCUGUCCCUUUCCUAUUUGCUGUGCAUCAAUUAUUGGACAGUCA